This 433-nucleotide ribosomal RNA is filed under the name uncultured bacterium. RNAcentral's name for it is "partial 16S ribosomal RNA". It matches the Rfam family "Bacterial small subunit ribosomal RNA", at positions 29 to 507 of the family's 1533-position model. The record is from RNAcentral.
AACGAACGCUGGCGGCAUGCCUAACACAUGCAAGUCGAACGAGACCUUCGGGUCUAGUGGCGCACGGGUGCGUAACGCGUGGGAACCUGCCCUUAGGUUCGGAAUAACUCCCCGAAAGGGGUGCUAAUACCGGAUAAUGUCUUCGGACCAAAGAUUUAUCGCCUUUGGAUGGGCCCGCGUUGGAUUAGCUAGUUGGUAGGGUAAAAGCCUACCAAGGCGACGAUCCAUAGCUGGUCUGAGAGGAUGAUCAGCCAGACUGGGACUGAGACACGGCCCAGACUCCUACGGGAGGCAGCAGUGGGGAAUAUUGGACAAUGGGCGAAAGCCUGAUCCAGCAAUGCCGCGUGAGUGAUGAAGGCCUUAGGGUUGUAAAGCUCUUUUACCCGGGAUGAUAAUGACAGUACCGGGAGAAUAAGCACCGGCUAACUCCGUG